This 47-nucleotide non-coding RNA is filed under the name unclassified sequences. The record is from Rfam.
GCGGAUAGAUGUCCGCUGGGAUGUAGCCGUAUAGGCUGAACCGAAAA